This 310-nucleotide ribosomal RNA is filed under the name uncultured bacterium. RNAcentral describes it as "bacterial SSU rRNA". It matches the Rfam family "Bacterial small subunit ribosomal RNA", at positions 196 to 507 of the family's 1533-position model. The record is from RNAcentral.
UGUUGUUAAAGGUUUACCGCCUUGGGAUAGGCUUGCGUCUGAUUAGUUAGUUGGUGUGGUAACGGCACACCAAGGCUACGAUCAGUAACUGGUCUGAGAGGAUGAUCAGUCACACUGGAACUGAGACACGGUCCAGACUCCUACGGGAGGCAGCAGUGAGGAAUAUUGGGCAAUGCUCGAAAGAGUGACCCAGCAACGCCGCGUGGAGGAUGAAGGUAUUCUAUAUCGUAAACUCCUGUGAGAGCAGACGAAAGACAGAUUAUUAAUCUGGAUGACUGUAUGCUCAGAGGAAGCCCCGGCUAACUACGUG